RNAcentral lists this ribosomal RNA (1461 nucleotides) under uncultured Alphaproteobacteria bacterium. RNAcentral describes it as "partial 16S ribosomal RNA". It matches the Rfam family "Bacterial small subunit ribosomal RNA". Lineage: Bacteria; Pseudomonadati; Pseudomonadota; Alphaproteobacteria. The record is from RNAcentral.
AGAGUUUGAUCCUGGCUCAGAACGAACGCUGGCGGCGUGCCUAACACAUGCAAGUCGAACGAGAAAGUUUCCUUCGGGAAACCAGUAAAGUGGCGCAAGGGUGAGUAACACGUGAAUAAUCUGCCUACGAAUUCGGGAUAACUCGACGAAAGUUGUGCUAAUACCGGAUAAGACCACACUUCUUAUGGAGCGUGGCCAAAGGAGUCUCAAACUCUGUUUGUAGAUGAGUUCGCGGACCAUUAGCUUGUUGGCGGGAUAACAGCCCACCAAGGCGACGAUGGUUAGCCGGCCUGAGAGGGUGAUCGGCCACACUGGAACUGAGACACGGCCCAGACUCCUACGGGAGGCAGCAGUAGGGAAUCUUAGACAAUGGGGGAAACCCUGAUCUAGCCAUGCCGCGUGUGUGAUGAAGGCCUUAGGGUCGUAAAGCACUUUCGCCAGAGAUGAUAAUGACAGUAUCUGGUAAAGAAACCCCGGCUAACUCCGUGCCAGCAGCCGCGGUAAUACGGAGGGGGUUAGCGUUGUUCGGAAUUACUGGGCGUAAAGCGCACGUAGGCGGAUUAGUAAGUUAGAGGUGAAAUCCCAGGGCUCAACCCUGGAACUGCCUUUAAUACUGCUAGUCUUGAGUUCGAGAGAGGUAAGUGGAAUUCCGAGUGUAGAGGUGAAAUUCGUAGAUAUUCGGAGGAACACCAGUGGCGAAGGCGGCUUACUGGCUCGAUACUGACGCUGAGGUGCGAAAGUGUGGGGAGCAAACAGGAUUAGAUACCCUGGUAGUCCACACCGUAAACGAUGAAUGCCAGACGUCAGCAAGUAUACUUGUUGGUGUCACACCUAACGGAUUAAGCAUUCCGCCUGGGGAGUACGGUCGCAAGAUUAAAACUCAAAGGAAUUGACGGGGGCCCGCACAAGCGGUGGAGCAUGUGGUUUAAUUCGACGCAACGCGCAGAACCUUACCAACCCUUGACAUCCUGUGCUACUACCAGAGAUGGUACGUUCCCUUCGGGGACGCAGUGACAGGUGCUGCAUGGCUGUCGUCAGCUCGUGUCGUGAGAUGUUCGGUUAAGUCCGGCAACGAGCGCAACCCACAUCUUUAGUUGCCAUCAGGUUAUGCUGGGCACUCUAGAGAAACUGCCCGUGAUAAGCGGGAGGAAGGUGUGGAUGACGUCAAGUCCUCAUGGCCCUUACGGGUUGGGCUACACACGUGCUACAAUGGCAGUGACAAUGGGUUAAUCCCAAAAAGCUGUCUCAGUUCGGAUUGGGGUCUGCAACUCGACCCCAUGAAGUCGGAAUCGCUAGUAAUCGCGUAACAGCAUGACGCGGUGAAUACGUUCCCGGGCCUUGUACACACCGCCCGUCACACCAUGGGAGUUGGUUCUACCCGACGACGCUGCGCUAACCCUUCGGGGAGGCAGGCGGCCACGGUAGGAUCAGCGACUGGGGUGAAGUCGUAACAAGGUAACC